Equus asinus (donkey) is the source of this 1925-nucleotide long non-coding RNA. Lineage: Eukaryota; Metazoa; Chordata; Mammalia; Perissodactyla; Equidae. The record is from Ensembl.
GCAGGAGAUUUUUUAAUGCUCUCUAGGUGAUUCUGAUGUCAGCAAAGAUGGAGAACCACUGAUGUAGUCAAUGAGAAGUAAUAGGGGUUAUUUUUCAGAACAGCGUUUUGAGUUAAUUUGAAAGGAGGGAAAAUCUCAGGGCGAAGGUUAUUGUGGUGAGGUUAUAAGGUGAGGUCAAAGGUUAGCAAGGAGGUCUGGGUGGGCAUGGGGUCAGUUACACAGUAUGCUCUUAAAUGAUAGCGGGUAAAGUGAGCUGAACUUAAUCUGAAAAAAAAAAAAAAAGGAGUUCUGGCAUCCUAAGGUGGUGUUCAGCAAAGGGCAGUGUCAGGACAGUACCUCAGCUGAAGACCUUCAGGUCCAUGGAAGACAGUGCAUGGAUUAUUCUGAAGAAUGACUUUCCGACAAUCUGCCCCCAGCUGUGUGUUGCAAUGCGCGUGGCGGAGCUGCGCUUCCAAAGAGGCUGGCUCAGUGGGGCUGCGGUGAUGUCUCCUUCCAGGUCCCAGCAUGGAUGACCCUGUUCUUCUUGGAGAUUCUGCUGCUCUUUCCUGGAUCAUCUUGGAGAGGUUCCGUCGAGACUCCCUGGGCUCACUUGGAACUCAUUACCGAAUGUCUAUGCCUCCACGCCUGUCCCCUCAGCCCGCACAGACACAGAGCCAGCAGCCCAGAACUGCCAGCUGGCUCACCACCGAAAUGAGGGUGAGCACCGGUAAGGAAAGAAAGCCAUCCAAGGCGUCACUUCCCUGCCCUCCUCAGAGAGGACAGCCGGGCCAUUCUCGUGAUUAAACCGACUAACCACCCCCGCCGGCUCUGUGAUGGCUUCUCCUGACCAUGGUGGUUGCUGAUUAAAGAGAAGCUGGAUUUUCUUAGAAGAAACUUAAAACUAUAUAGAGAAAGAGAGAUGGGGUGAGGGCCUCAACUGCAAUGUUCUUGGUGGGAACCACAGUUUCCUCAACCCAUCUCCACUCUCAUGACACCCAGAGCCCCAGACGCCCAGGAGACAGCCCAGAGGACACAUGCUAUUGCCCAAAGAAUCUGUCUUAUUCCAGAAAGCCAAGACUGUAUUUCCUCACCUCUGUUCAGCCUGGCAUGUUCAAUGAGAUGUAAGACUACCCUGCUGCAAGACACACAGUCUGCUGACAUUUUCCUGAUUCCUCCUGCCUAAAACUUGGAGGUGAUGGCUAGAGUUUCAACAGCCAUUUUGGACCAGGAGGUGUCCUUGAGGAUAGACAUCACGUGCUGAGGAUGACAAAGCAGGAAGGUAGACAUCCCUACCAAUCGUGGAAUCAACAUGCUUGCUUUGGGUUGCGUAGAACCAGAGACAAAUUAGCCUUUACUGUAUUUAUUGUAUUUUUAUUGUAAAGCACUGUUAUUUAGGUUUUCCAUUCUAUGAAAUGAAACUAAUCCUAACAGAUGCACCAAGACAUAUUUCAAAUCGUGCUUCCCGGUGUUAAUUUCUAACUGCCUGCCGCAUCAAUGAAUAAUUUCCUGCAUUAAGCGCUGUUUCCCUUCCACACCCCGUUCCCCAGGGAAUCAUGUUCCCUCCCUGUCUGACUCAAGUCCUAAGUCCCAGUGACCUUUUCCAGACCCACCCAGCCUCUCCCUGUCCAAAUCUAGCAAUCAAUACCGUAGCCACACAUCUGGCCCUGUAUUCUUUCAGCACCAUUCAAAAUAGUAUUAGGAAUGUUUUUUACCAAUGACUGUUUCAGGAGAAGCAUGGUUUAUUGUAAAAAGCGUUGACCCUGUAGAAGAAUAAGGGAGUGGCUGUGCCCUUUGCAAGCUGCAAGGUUGUAAGAGGAGCACCAGGAGGUGAUCUCUUGCUUGACGUGAGCCUGAGACCCCCUGACUCGGCCGGUAAUGACUUUUCCAUUUUAUAGGAAGCAGAUGGGAUUUUAAUGGACUGUGACUAUUGUCUAUUUUCUUUAAGC